CACCACGAGAGUUUGUAACACCCGAAGUCGGUGGGGUAACCUUUUUGGAGCCAGCCGCCUAAGGUGGGACAGAUGAUUGGGGUGAAGUCGUAACAAGGUAGCCGUAUCGGAAGGUGCGGCUGGAUCACCUCCUUUCUAUGGAGA
RNAcentral lists this ribosomal RNA (144 nucleotides) under Bacillus cereus. RNAcentral describes it as "partial 16S ribosomal RNA". It matches the Rfam family "Bacterial small subunit ribosomal RNA", at positions 1400 to 1533 of the family's 1533-position model. Lineage: Bacteria; Bacillati; Bacillota; Bacilli; Caryophanales; Bacillaceae. The record is from RNAcentral.